RNAcentral lists this ribosomal RNA (103 nucleotides) under Clostridium botulinum. RNAcentral describes it as "partial 23S ribosomal RNA". It matches the Rfam family "Bacterial large subunit ribosomal RNA", at positions 1 to 102 of the family's 2925-position model. Lineage: Bacteria; Bacillati; Bacillota; Clostridia; Eubacteriales; Clostridiaceae. The record is from RNAcentral. RNAcentral also lists the same sequence under 1 other name.
AGGUCAAGCUACAAAGGGCGCAUGGUGAAUGCCUUGGCACUAGGAGCCGAAGAAGGACGCGAUAAGCUGCGAUAAGCCUUGGGUAGCCGCAAAUAGGCUGAGA